This 858-nucleotide ribosomal RNA is filed under the name uncultured bacterium. RNAcentral's name for it is "bacterial SSU rRNA". It matches the Rfam family "Bacterial small subunit ribosomal RNA", at positions 615 to 1471 of the family's 1533-position model. The record is from RNAcentral.
CAANGUAUGCUUUGGAAACUGUUAGACUNGAGUGCAGAAGGGGAGAGUGGAAUUCCAUGUGUAGCGGUGAAAUGCGUAGAUAUAUGGAGGAACACCGGUGGCGAAAGCGGCUCUCUGGUCUGUCACUGACGCUGAGGCUCGAAAGCGUGGGUAGCGAACAGGAUUAGAUACCCUGGUAGUNCACGCCGUAAACGCUGAGUGCUAGGUGUUAGGUCCUUUCCGGGACUUAGUGCCGACGCUAACGCAUUAAGCACUCCGCCUGGGGAGUACGACCGCAAGGUUGAAACUCAAAGGAAUUGACGGGGGCCCGCACAAGCGGUGGAGCAUGUGGUUUAAUUCGAAGCAACGCGAAGAACCUUACCAGGUCUUGACAUCCCGAUGCCCGCUCUAGAGAUAGAGUUUUUCUUCGGAACAUCGGAGACAGGUGGUGCAUGGUUGUCGUCAGCUCGUGUCGUGAGAUGUUGGGUUAAGUCCCGCAACGAGCGCAACCCUUAUUGUUAGUUGCCAUCAUUAAGUUGGGCACUCUAGCGAGACUGCCGGUAAUAAACCGGAGGAAGGUGGGGAUGACGUCAAAUCAUCAUGCCCCUUAUGACCUGGGCUACACACGUGCUACAAUGGUUGGUACAACGAGUCGCAAGCCGGUGACGGCAAGCUAAUCUCUGAAAGCCAAUCUCAGUUCGGAUUGUAGGCUGCAACUCGCCUACAUGAAGUCGGAAUCGCUAGUAAUCGCGGAUCAGCACGCCGCGGUGAAUACGUUCCCGGGCCUUGUACACACCGCCCGUCACACCACGAGAGUUUGUAACACCCAAAGUCGGUGAGGUAACCAUUUAUGGGGCCAGCCGCCUAAGGUGGGANGGA